RNAcentral lists this ribosomal RNA (392 nucleotides) under Neobacillus drentensis. RNAcentral's name for it is "bacterial SSU rRNA". It matches the Rfam family "Bacterial small subunit ribosomal RNA", at positions 98 to 476 of the family's 1533-position model. The record is from RNAcentral. Lineage: Bacteria; Bacillati; Bacillota; Bacilli; Caryophanales; Bacillaceae.
GCGGACGGGUGAGUAACACGUGGGCAACCUGCCUGUAAGACUGGGAUAACACCGGGAAACCGGUGCUAAUACCGGAUAAUCCUUUUCCUCUCAUGAGGAAAAGCUGAAAGUCGGUUUCGGCUGACACUUACAGAUGGGCCCGCGGCGCAUUAGCUAGUUGGUGAGGUAACGGCUCACCAAGGCGACGAUGCGUAGCCGACCUGAGAGGGUGAUCGGCCACACUGGGACUGAGACACGGCCCAGACUCCUACGGGAGGCAGCAGUAGGGAAUCUUCCACAAUGGACGAAAGUCUGAUGGAGCAACGCCGCGUGAGCGAUGAAGGCCUUCGGGUCGUAAAGCUCUGUUGUUAGGGAAGAACAAGUACCGGAGUAACUGCCGGUACCUUGACGGU